UGCAGCAGCCAUAUCACCCUGUAGCCCAAGACUGGUUGCCCACUGAAGCUAAGCAGGGUUGAGCCUGGUCAGUACCUGGAUGGGAGACCUCCUGGGAAAACUAGGUUGCUGCUGGAA
Molecule: ribosomal RNA, 117 nt
Filed under: Sinocyclocheilus anshuiensis
Lineage: Eukaryota; Metazoa; Chordata; Actinopteri; Cypriniformes; Cyprinidae
Source: RNAcentral